Molecule: ribosomal RNA, 292 nt
Filed under: uncultured bacterium
Lineage: Bacteria
Description: partial 16S ribosomal RNA
Rfam family: Bacterial small subunit ribosomal RNA
Source: RNAcentral
GUGUCAGCAGCCGCGGUAAUACAGAGGUCUCAAGCGUUGUUCGGAAUCACUGGGCGUAAAGGGUGCGUAGGCGGCGCGGAAAGUCAGAUGUGAAAUCCGGAGGCUCAACCUCCGAAUUGCAUCCGAUACUUCCGUGCUAGAGAGUUGUAGAGGGGCUUGGAAUUCUCGGUGUAGCAGUGAAAUGCGUAGAUAUCGAGAAGAACGCUCGCAGCGAAGGCGAAGCCCUGGGCAACAUCUGACGCUGAGGCACGAAGGCUAGGGGAGCAAACGGGAUUAGAUACCCCGGUAGUCC